GACGAACCGAGCGAACGUUAUUCGGAAUCACUGGGCUUAAAGGGCGCGUAGGCGGGCCGUCAAGUCGAGGGUGAAAUCCCCAGGCUCAACCCGGGAACUGCGUCCGAUACUGGAAGGCUUGAAUCCGGGAGAGGGUCGUGGAAUUCCCGGUGUAGCGGUGAAAUGCGCAGAUAUCAGGAGGAACACCGAUGGCGAAGGCAGGUCUCUGGGCCAUAACUGACGCUGAGAAGCGAAAGCAUGGGGAGCGAACAGG
RNAcentral lists this ribosomal RNA (253 nucleotides) under uncultured bacterium. Its description in RNAcentral is "partial 16S ribosomal RNA". It matches the Rfam family "Bacterial small subunit ribosomal RNA", at positions 524 to 776 of the family's 1533-position model. The record is from RNAcentral.